AGUGAACGCUGGCGGUAGGCCUAACACAUGCAAGUCGAACGGCAGCACAGUAAGAGCUUGCUCUUACGGGUGGCGAGUGGCGGACGGGUGAGGAAUACAUCGGAAUCUACUUUUUCGUGGGGGAUAACGUAGGGAAACUUACGCUAAUACCGCAUACGACCUACGGGUGAAAGCAGGGGAUCUUCGGACCUUGCGCGAUUGAAUGAGCCGAUGUCGGAUUAGCUAGUUGGCGGGGUAAAGGCCCACCAAGGCGACGAUCCGUAGCUGGUCUGAGAGGAUGAUCAGCCACACUGGAACUGAGACACGGUCCAGACUCCUACGGGAGGCAGCAGUGGGGAAUAUUGGACAAUGGGCGAAAGCCUGAACCAGCCAUACCGCGUGGGUGAAGAAGGCCUUCGGGUUGUAAAGCCCUUUUGUUGGGAAAGAAAAGCAGCAGGUUAAUACCCCGCUGUUCUGACGGUACCCAAAGAAUAAGCACCGGCUAACUUCGUG
This 492-nucleotide ribosomal RNA is filed under the name uncultured bacterium. RNAcentral's name for it is "partial 16S ribosomal RNA". It matches the Rfam family "Bacterial small subunit ribosomal RNA", at positions 29 to 507 of the family's 1533-position model. The record is from RNAcentral.